UCCCUGGUGGCUUAGAGGUUAAAGCGUCUGCCUGAAAUGCAGGAGACCCAGGUUCGAUCCCUGUGUCAGGAAG
RNAcentral lists this transfer RNA (73 nucleotides) under Ovis aries (sheep). RNAcentral's name for it is "tRNA-Phe (GAA) (tRNA-Phe-GAA-18-1)". It matches the Rfam family "tRNA". From Rfam's summary of the family: Transfer RNA (tRNA) molecules are approximately 80 nucleotides in length. Their secondary structure includes four short double-helical elements and three loops (D, anti-codon, and T loops). Further hydrogen bonds mediate the characteristic L-shaped molecular structure. tRNAs have two regions of fundamental functional importance: the anti-codon, which is responsible for specific mRNA codon recognition, and the 3' end, to which the tRNAs corresponding amino acid is attached (by aminoacyl-tRNA synthetases). tRNAs cope with the degeneracy of the genetic code in two manners: having more than one tRNA (with a specific anti-codon) for a particular amino acid; and 'wobble' base-pairing, i.e. permitting non-standard base-pairing at the 3rd anti-codon position. Lineage: Eukaryota; Metazoa; Chordata; Mammalia; Artiodactyla; Bovidae. The record is from RNAcentral.